GGAUUUAUUGGGUUUAAAGGGUGCGUAGGCGGAUAGAUAAGUCAGUGGUGAAAUUCUGCAGCUUAACUGUAGACUUGCCGUUGAUACUGUCAGUCUUGAGUAUGGUCAAGGCAGGCGGAAUGUGUAAUGUAGCGGUGAAAUGCUUAGAUAUUACACAGAACACCGAUUGCGAAGGCAGCUUGCUGGACCAUUACUGACGCUGAUGCACGAAGGCGUGGGGAUCGAACAGGAUUAGAUACCCUGGUAGUCCACGCCGUAAACGAUGAUCACUCGCUGUUGGCGAUACACAGUCAGCGGCUAAGCAAAAGCAUUAAGUGAUCCACCUGGGGAGUACGGCCGCAAGGCUGAAACUCAAAGGAAUUGACGGGGGCCCGCACAAGCGGAGGAACAUGUUGUUUAAUUCGAUGAUACGCGAGGAACCUUACCUGGGCUUAAAUGUAGAGUGCAUUGGUGAGAAAUCAUCAUUUUCUUCGGAACUCUCUGCAAGGUGCUGCAUGGUUGUCGUCAGCUCGUGCCGUGAGGUGUCGGGUUAAGUCCCAUAACGAGCGCAACCCUUAUCGUUAGUUGCCAGCGGGUAAUGCCGGGGACUCUAGCGAAACUGCCGGUGUAAACCGAGAGGAAGGUGGGGAUGACGUCAAAUCAGCACGGCCCUUAUGUCCAGGGCUACACACGUGUUACAAUGGCCGGUACAGAGGGCAGCUACCUGGAGACAGGAUGCGAAUCUCGAAAGCCGGUCUCAGUUCGGAUCGGAGUCUGCAACUCGACUCCGUGAAGCUGGAUUCGCUAGUAAUCGCGCAUCAGCCAUGGCGCGGUGAAUACGUUCCCGGGCCUUGUACACACCGCCCGUCAAGCCAUGGAAGUUGGGGGUACCUGAAGUCCGUAACCGUAAGGAGCGGCCUAGGGUAAAACCAGUGACUGGGGCUAAGUCGUAACAAGGUA
Molecule: ribosomal RNA, 939 nt
Filed under: uncultured Bacteroidota bacterium
Lineage: Bacteria; Pseudomonadati; Bacteroidota
Description: bacterial SSU rRNA
Rfam family: Bacterial small subunit ribosomal RNA
Source: RNAcentral